GAAAGCAUAUUUCCAGGGCUUUCUUUGUGAGCAGAUUACUUAAACCCAGAUUCCUUCAGAUGUCUGAGCUCAGUCAUGGAAGCAUUAAGAACAAGAGUCAGAAACUUGACUAAGACUGCUCACAGAAACCUUUAUUAAACUUUAAAGAAGGCAAUGAAGCAAGGAUUAGAUGUAGCUGGGUGUGGAAAAUAGCUGUGGAGACAGGUGUUGCUUGUCAGUUUGAGUUUUACUUUGAUGUUCAAGCAAGCCAAGGCAAGUGGGGACAGAGCUGGUGGGCAAGCGAGGCGGUGUGGGUGCACUGAGUUAGCUGGAAUUGCACCUCUCACUGCAGUGCCCAGAAAUGUGCAUCAGGGGAAGCCAGCCAUCCAGGAAAUUGGGCUGGAGGAGUCAUCUGGGCUUCCUUAGUUUGUGUUCAGUGUGCAGACUCUAGUCUGAAGUCAAAAAUCACUGUAAAUUCAAAGGGGAUCAGGUUUGAUAGUGGCAGCUGUGCUGUGGAGCUGAGGGUUUGUCUUUAAUGCUGGGAUUUAAUGUAGGUGCUGCCAGACAUGGUACCUGUGUGCCCAUGGACAUGGGGGACUGUCCCCAGACCAGUUAUUAAGGGCAGAGAAAUUGAGGUACAGAGUGUCCUAAAUCCUGGGAGUGGCACUGAUGAGUGAGAUCCAAGCCCGUCUCUUUGGGUCUCUCUUGUCCAAGGAUGUCUUCCCUCUGAAACAUGACUGCAACAGGAACAGGGAAUUUGGUGAUAAACUUGCAAAGUGUCAGAUCAGAAGAUACAAAUCCCAGAGAACUAGGCAUGGGAAUAUGACUGAAAAGGAGUGUUCAAAGAAAAACACAUGAAAAUUAGUAUCAGCUACUUUAAAGUGGAAAUUAGUCCCACUUUCAGCCAUGAGAGGAUUAGUAGUGCUGUGGAUGCAGUUGUGCAGAUGUCUGGGAUGAGCUUCAUUUCUCCUAACUCUGAAUGUCUACAUCCGUCCUGGUCCCUGUAGGCUCCUUGUGUAAUCAAUGGAUAGAAAAAACUGCUGCUAACGUGAUUCAUCUGACCUGUUUUAGCCACCUACUUUAGGAGUAGAUGAAGCAUGCUCUAGAAACACUUUUAUUUCUUCUGAUUUUAAGGAAGUCCAAAAGAAGAACUGACACUUAGAGGUUGUCUGGACUGGACAAGGUAAAGCAGAACUUGGAGGAGUGUAAGCAGCUGUAAUAUUUUGUCUGCCUCAUACUGUGGCUUACAGGAGUUUAUCUUUUUCGUACUGGCAUUUUGCAUGUGUCACUUUUCAUUUUAUCUUCUUUAUUUCAGCUUCUGGCCUGUGUUUUAAUGUCUGUUAGAUUUAACUACAGUUUCAGAGUACAAUCAUGGGAAUGACCCAGGUACUGUCUCAUUGACUGGGGUGAUACCACAGCUUUGGAUUCUAUUUAUUGCUUGAAUGCAUAUCUUUAUUGCAGGAAAUGGAGUAAAUAAACUCCCUUGUAAAACAUGAUGUUAGUCAAGACAGAACUUGACUUCUGAUUGGGGUACAAGCACCUCUUCCAAUCAUCUUCUGCCCUCUUAGGGAGCAUUUUAGGGGUUCUGUUCAUUGUUAUCCUGAUUUUUACCACAUCCCCUGGGAUGUUCUUUUUCUUUUGGUUUACUUUAAAUUUUCCUUGAAAUAUAUUUGAA
Cyanistes caeruleus (blue tit) is the source of this 1654-nucleotide non-coding RNA. The record is from RefSeq and is a predicted model, not a curated record. Lineage: Eukaryota; Metazoa; Chordata; Aves; Passeriformes; Paridae.